AACGAACGCUGGCGGCAUGCCUAACACAUGCAAGUCGAACGAGACCUUCGGGUCUAGUGGCGCACGGGUGCGUAACGCGUGGGAACCUGCCCUUAGGUUCGGAAUAACUCCCCGAAAGGGGUGCUAAUACCGGAUAAUGUCUUCGGACCAAAGAUUUAUCGCCUUUGGAUGGGCCCGCGUUGGAUUAGCUAGUUGGUAGGGUAAAAGCCUACCAAGGCGACGAUCCAUAGCUGGUCUGAGAGGAUGAUCAGCCACACUUGGACUGAGACACGGCCCAGACUCCUACGGAAGGCAGCAGUGGGGAAUAUUGGACAAGGGGCGAAAGCCUGAUACAGCAAUGCCGCGUGAGUGAUGAAGGCCUUAGGGUUGUAAAGCUCUUUUACCCGGGAUGAUAAUGACAGUACCGGGAGAAUAAGCUCCGGCUAACUCCGUG
Molecule: ribosomal RNA, 433 nt
Filed under: uncultured bacterium
Lineage: Bacteria
Description: partial 16S ribosomal RNA
Rfam family: Bacterial small subunit ribosomal RNA
Source: RNAcentral